This 1583-nucleotide unclassified non-coding RNA is filed under the name Owenia fusiformis. Its description in RNAcentral is "dNA repair protein RAD51 homolog". The record is from RNAcentral. Lineage: Eukaryota; Metazoa; Annelida; Polychaeta; Sabellida; Oweniidae.
CUCGCAAUUAUUCAGUAAAUUAUUGGCGGAAAUUUUGUUUUGCGAAAAUUUUCUAAAAGUUGUGUAAGAUUUGAAUUUAACCUUGUAAUUCGACAGAUGAAGUGACUUCUCUCGUUAUUAAACCAUCUACAUGAACUAAUGCAGUAAAUCACGAACAAUUAAACAACAUUUAAGAGUAGAAUACCUAACUGUAGACCCAGUUGUAACACCAGGCAUUUCCAUAUAUUUUGAGAAAUCCAUAUCACCAAGAUGGCAAUGCAAGUAGAGAGACAAGAGGACCAAGAAAUUGAAGAGGAAAACCUCGGACCUCAGCCAAUAGGCAGAUUGGAGGCGUCUGGUAUAAGUGCCAAUGAUGUGAAGAAAUUAGAAGAAGCUGGUUUUCAUACAAUAGAAUCUGUUGCUUUUGCUCCUAAAAAAGCCCUACUUGGCAUCAAAGGCAUAAGUGAGGCUAAAGCUGAUAAAUUACUGGGAGAGUCACAGAAGAUGGUGCCCAUGGGCUUCACUACUGCCACAGAGUUUCAUCAGAAAAGAUCUGAGAUCAUACAGAUUACAACAGGAUCAAAGGAGCUGGACAAGUUAUUACAAGGCGGAAUAGAAACAGGAUCAAUAACAGAAAUUUUUGGAGAAUUCAGAACAGGAAAAACUCAGCUAUGUCACACUUUAGCCGUCACUUGCCAAAUGCCUAUAGACGUAGGUGGUGGGGAAGGUCGUGCAAUGUACAUCGACACAGAGGGCACAUUUAGACCUGAAAGGCUACUGGCUGUGGCAGAAAAGUAUGGUCUUUCUGGCAAAGAUGUGUUGGACAACGUGGCAUAUGCAAGGGCCUACAACUCAGACCAUCAGAACCAACUGUUACUACAAGCUGCUGCUAUGAUGGCUGAAUCAAGGUAUGCCUUGCUAAUAGUUGACAGUGCUACAGCCCUAUACAGGACAGACUACUCAGGGAGAGGGGAACUAUCAGCCCGACAAAUGCAUCUUGCAAGGUUCCUGAGAACCCUUUUACGUCUAGCUGAUGAGUUUGGUGUCGCCGUGGUGAUAUCUAAUCAAGUAGUAGCUCAAGUAGAUGGCGCUGCUAUGUUUUCUGCAGACCCUAAAAAACCAAUUGGUGGAAAUAUAAUUGCACAUGCCUCAACUACCAGGUUAUAUCUGAGAAAAGGGCGUGGAGAGACGAGGAUAUGUAAGAUCUAUGACUCCCCAUGUUUACCAGAGUCAGAGGCAAUGUUUGCAAUCAAUGCAGAUGGCAUAGGAGAUGCCAAAGAUUGAGAUAUUCCUCAAAAGACAGUUGAAGGAAUAUGUGUAAAUAUUAACCACAUGUGUGGACUCUUGGUGCUGUUAUUGUGCAGUCUGGGAUCUUUGAAUCAGUAUAUGGAGCUAUAAGAACCAUCAUUAUUCCUGGGCUUAUUUUGUUUAGUAGGUCUAGAAGGUCUUUGAAGGUCUGUUUAAAGAAUAAAUUAAAUUACUUAGUGAUGUAAGGUGCAUAUAUUUGAUAGAGCAGGAAAUUGAAUGAAAUUGUAUCUUAGAAUGAAAGGCCAACCAGCAAACAAAUCAAUUUUAAUCUUUCCAUGAUUAUCAUGAAUUCAAAU